Long non-coding RNA from Manis pentadactyla (Chinese pangolin), 268 nucleotides. RefSeq lists it as uncharacterized. NCBI's taxonomy places the organism in Eukaryota, Metazoa, Chordata, Mammalia, Pholidota, Manidae. The transcript is spliced from 3 exons. The record is from RefSeq and is a predicted model, not a curated record.
AGAACACCAACCCGCCAAGAAAACUGGAACGAAGAGGAGAAGAUGUGAUACGGGAACAUCGAGCCUAAACUGAGAGCAGCCGGAUGUGGAUCCCUGUGUUGGCGCGAGUGGCAGGAACCUCAAGUCUCUCCAAGUGCUCCGCCUGUCUUUGCUUUCCAACCCCACCGGUCCUCCAGAGCAUCACGUGAGAUGAGUGAAGUCAUCUGAUGCUUGUCUUUCUCCAUCCUGCUCAUUUCACUGAGCAUAAUACCCUCUAGCUCCAUCCGUG